This 255-nucleotide ribosomal RNA is filed under the name uncultured bacterium. Its description in RNAcentral is "partial 16S ribosomal RNA". It matches the Rfam family "Bacterial small subunit ribosomal RNA", at positions 524 to 777 of the family's 1533-position model. The record is from RNAcentral.
UACGAAGGGGGCUAGCGUUGCUCGGAAUUACUGGGCGUAAAGGGCGCGUAGGCGGAUAGUUCAGUCGGGGGGUGAAAGCCCGGGGCUCAACCUCGGAACUGCCUUCGAUACUGGCUAUCUUGAGUACGGGAGAGGUGUGUGGAACUCCGAGUGUAGAGGUGAAAUUCGUAGAUAUUCGGAAGAACACCAGUGGCGAAGGCGACUUACUGGCUCGAUACUGACGCUAAGGCGCGAAAGCGUGGGGAGCAAACAGGG